This 253-nucleotide ribosomal RNA is filed under the name uncultured bacterium. Its description in RNAcentral is "partial 16S ribosomal RNA". It matches the Rfam family "Bacterial small subunit ribosomal RNA", at positions 524 to 776 of the family's 1533-position model. The record is from RNAcentral.
UACGUAGGGUGCAGGCGUUAAUCGGAAUUACUGGGCGUAAAGCGUGCGCAGGCGGCUUCCUAAGUCAGAUGUGAAAUCCCCGGGCUUAACCUGGGAACUGCGUUUGAAACUGUCAGGCUAGAGGUAGGUAGGGGAGAUCGGAAUUCCUGGUGUAGCGGUGAAAUGCGCAGAUAUCAGGAGGAACACCGGUGGCGAAGGCGGAGCUCUGGGCCGUGACUGACGCUCAGGCGCGAAAGCUAGGGGAGCGAACAGG